Molecule: non-coding RNA, 22 nt
Filed under: Arabidopsis thaliana (thale cress)
Lineage: Eukaryota; Viridiplantae; Streptophyta; Magnoliopsida; Brassicales; Brassicaceae
Source: RNAcentral
GACUCAUCGUUAAGGCUCUGAC